Molecule: ribosomal RNA, 495 nt
Filed under: uncultured bacterium
Lineage: Bacteria
Description: partial 16S ribosomal RNA
Rfam family: Bacterial small subunit ribosomal RNA
Source: RNAcentral
GACGAACGCUGGCGGCGUGCCUAAUACAUGCAAGUAGAACGCUGAAGGAGGAGCUUGCUUCUCUGGAUGAGUUGCGAACGGGUGAGUAACGCGUAGGUAACCUGCCUGGUAGCGGGGGAUAACUAUUGGAAACGAUAGCUAAUACCGCAUAAGAGUAGAUGUUGCAUGACAUUUUCUUAAAAGGUGCAAUUGCAUCACUACCAGAUGGACCUGCGUUGUAUUAGCUAGUUGGUGGGGUAACGGCUCACCAAGGCGACGAUACAUAGCCGACCUGAGAGGGUGAUCGGCCACACUGGGACUGAGACACGGCCCAGACUCCUACGGGAGGCAGCAGUAGGGAAUCUUCGGCAAUGGACGGAAGUCUGACCGAGCAACGCCGCGUGAGUGAAGAAGGGUUUCGGAUCGUAAAGCUCUGUUGUAAGAGAAGAACGAGUGUGAGAGUGGAAAGUUCACACUGUGACGGUAUCUUACCAGAAAGGGACGGCUAACUACGUG